CAAUAGCGUAUAUUAAAGCUGUUGCGGUUAAAAAGCUCGUAGUUGGAUUUCUGUCAAGGACAACUGGUCCGCCCUCCGGGUGAGCACAUAGUUUGGUCUUGGCAUCUUGCUGGAAGCUGUUGCUGCACUUGGCUGUGUGGCGCAGCGUCCAGCACUUUCACUUUGAGGAAAUUGGAGUGUUUCAAGCAGGCACAUGCCUUUGGACACAGUAGCAUGGAAUAAUUAGAUUGGGCUUUUGCUCCAAUUUGUCGGUCUCUGGAGCUGAGGUGAGAAUUAAUGGGGAUUGUUGGGGGCAUCCGAAUUUAGCCGUCAGAGGUGAAAUUCUUGGAUCUGCUAAAGACGGACAACUGCGAAAGCGUUUGCCCAGGAUGUUUUCAUUGA
Molecule: ribosomal RNA, 381 nt
Filed under: uncultured eukaryote
Lineage: Eukaryota
Description: partial 18S ribosomal RNA
Rfam family: Eukaryotic small subunit ribosomal RNA
Source: RNAcentral